UACGAAGGACCCAAGCGUUAUCCGGAUUUAUUGGGUUUAAAGGGUGCGUAGGCGGGUUGUUAAGUCAGUGGUGAAAGCUCCGAGCCUAACUCGGAAACUGCCAUUGAUACUGACGAUCUUGAGUACAUUUGAGGUGGGCGGAAUGUGUCAUGUAGCGGUGAAAUGCUUAGAUAUGACACAGAACACCGAUUGCGAAGGCAGCUCACUAGACUGUAACUGACGCUGAGGCACGAAAGCGUGGGGAGCAAACAGG
RNAcentral lists this ribosomal RNA (253 nucleotides) under uncultured bacterium. Its description in RNAcentral is "partial 16S ribosomal RNA". It matches the Rfam family "Bacterial small subunit ribosomal RNA", at positions 524 to 776 of the family's 1533-position model. The record is from RNAcentral.